RNAcentral lists this transfer RNA (71 nucleotides) under uncultured Coprococcus sp. It matches the Rfam family "tRNA". Rfam says of the family: Transfer RNA (tRNA) molecules are approximately 80 nucleotides in length. Their secondary structure includes four short double-helical elements and three loops (D, anti-codon, and T loops). Lineage: Bacteria; Bacillati; Bacillota; Clostridia; Lachnospirales; Lachnospiraceae. The record is from RNAcentral.
AUCUGUAGCUCAGUAGGAUAGAGCGUCCGCCUCCUAAGCGGAAGGUCGUGGGUUCGAAUCCCGCCAGGUGC